UGGGGAACUUGACAACUUGAACGCUGAGGUGCCGAAAGCGUGGGUAGCAAACACGUGAUUAGAUACCCUGGUAGUCCACGCCGUAAACGAUGUCGACUAGCCGUUGGGGUCCUUGAGACCUUUGUGGCGCAGUUAACGCGAUAAGUCGACCGCCUGGGGAGUACGGCCGCAAGGUUAAAACUCAAAUGAAUUGACGGGGGCCCGCACAAGCGGUGGAGCAUGUGGUUUAAUUCGAUGCAACGCGAAGAACCUUACCUACCCUUGACAUCGAGAGAACUUGGCAGAGAUGCCUUGGUGCCUUCGGGAACUCUCAGACAGGUGCUGCAUGGCUGUCGUCAGCUCGUGUUGUGAAAUGUUGGGUUAAGUCCCGUAACGAGCGCAACCCUUGUCCCUAUUUGCCAGCGAUUCGGUCGGGAACUCUAGGGAGACUGCCGGUGACAAACCGGAGGAAGGUGGGGACGACGUCAAGUCAUCAUGGCCCUUACGGGUAGGGCUACACACGUGCUACAAUGGACGGUACAAAGGGUUGCAAGACCGCGAGGUGGCGCUAAUCCCAGAAAGCCGUUCUCAGUCCGGAUCGGAGUCUGCAACUCGACUCCGUGAAGUCGGAAUCGCUAGUAAUCGUGAAUCAGAAUGUCACGGUGAAUACGUUCCCGGGCCUUGUACACACCGCCCGUCACACCAUGGGAGUGGACUGCACCAGAAGUGGUUAGCCUAACUUCGGAGGGCGAUCACCACGGUGU
Molecule: ribosomal RNA, 743 nt
Filed under: Halomonas sp.
Lineage: Bacteria; Pseudomonadati; Pseudomonadota; Gammaproteobacteria; Oceanospirillales; Halomonadaceae
Description: bacterial SSU rRNA
Rfam family: Bacterial small subunit ribosomal RNA
Source: RNAcentral